AUGCGUGAUGUUGACACUUCCUCAAUAAAUAUUUGAACCUCUCCCUAGCAUCACAUACCGACUCAUCCUCCAACUGUUGAAAAGAAAUAAUCUCAUUCCGGAACUU
Molecule: small nucleolar RNA, 106 nt
Organism: Humulus lupulus (European hop)
Lineage: Eukaryota; Viridiplantae; Streptophyta; Magnoliopsida; Rosales; Cannabaceae
Source: RefSeq, a predicted model, not a curated record